UCUUAUGAAGUUAGCGGCGGACGGGAGAAGUAACACGUGGGUAACCUGCCCAUAAGACUGGGAUUUACUCCGGGAAACCGGGGCUAAUACCGGAUAACAUUUUGAACUGCAUGGUUCGAAAUUGAAAGGCGGCUUCGGCUGUCACUUAUGGAUGGACCCGCGUCGCAUUAGCUAGUUGGUGAGGUAACGGCUCACCAAGGCAACGAUGCGUAGCCGACCUGAGAGGGUGAUCGGCCACACUGGGACUGAGACACGGCCCAGACUCCUACGGGAGGCAGCAGUAGGGAAUCUUCCGCAAUGGACGAAAGUCUGACGGAGCAACGCCGCGUGAGUGAUGAGAGGCGUUCGGGUCGUAAAACUCUGUUGUUAGGGAAGAACAAGUGCUAGUUGAAUAAGCUGGCACCUUGACGGUACCUAACCAGAAAGCCACGGCUAACUACGUGCCAGCAGCCGCGGUAAUACGUAGGUGGCAAGCGUUAUCCGGAAUUAUUGGGCGUAAAGCGCGCGCAGGUGGUUUUCUUAAGUCUGAUGUGAAAGCCCACGGCUCAACCGUGGAGGGUCAUUGGAUAACUGGGAGACUUGAGUGCAGAAGAGGAAAGUGGAAUUCCAUGUGUUAGCGGUGAAAUGCGUAGAGAUAUGGAAGGAACACCAGUGGCCGAAGGCGACUUUUCUGGGUCUGUACCUGACACUGAGGCGCGAAAGCGUGGGGGAGCAAAACAGGAUUA
RNAcentral lists this ribosomal RNA (725 nucleotides) under Bacillus cereus. RNAcentral describes it as "bacterial SSU rRNA". It matches the Rfam family "Bacterial small subunit ribosomal RNA", at positions 82 to 780 of the family's 1533-position model. The record is from RNAcentral. Lineage: Bacteria; Bacillati; Bacillota; Bacilli; Caryophanales; Bacillaceae.